GAAUUAUACGAAGGACCUGGCCGCAAGAAGGCAUUGAGCCCCGAGGAGGACAACAGGCCUCAGCUCUUGGCACCAAGUAACUAUGAAGACUCUGAGAACUGGACCAUCCCAAGGCUGUAGCUUUCUUCAAGCCUGGCAGGCUCUGUCGUGGUGAAGAGUCUGAAGGCUUUUUCUUUUCCAGAUGUAAUUAUUAACCAACAUUCACAUCAGAUUCACAAUUGGAAACCCAGCUGUUAAACAUUUACCAGCACACUACUGGAAAGAAGUGCAUAUGGACUACUCGCUUGGGAUUCCAGAAGAAAGAACGUUAUAGAACACCUACAACUUGGCAAUCAGGGGCCUGAGGUACAGCUGAAGUACAGCUGUGGAAGAGGAGAUGCUAAUUCCUGGAGAGAGAGCAACACAGAUUUUACAGUCAGCAGCCAGAGACUACCCUCAGAACAGGAAUGUGAAAAAUAAACCAGAUAUGCUGAACUGGAUACCAACAAGGUUAAAUGGUGGAAAAGCCAUAAUCACUUCUAAAUUCAAGGGUAGGAUUAAUACUGUAUUUUCACAGUACCUGAAAGUUCUGUGGCCUUUCCUAGACACCAGUUCAUGUGAUCACCAGAACAGAACUGAGGUUGAGGGGAAAGUUAGCUAUCAGCAUUGGGCCCAUUUUACAGAUGGGAAACUGAGGCAGUGGAAGGUAAAGUAGUUUGCCCAAGGUUACUGUUUCUGCAUAAAUGGCUGCCCUGGGACUAGAUGGGA
This 747-nucleotide long non-coding RNA is filed under the name Homo sapiens (human). RNAcentral describes it as "non-protein coding lnc-ZFP36L1-2:8". Lineage: Eukaryota; Metazoa; Chordata; Mammalia; Primates; Hominidae. The record is from RNAcentral.